Long non-coding RNA from Callithrix jacchus (white-tufted-ear marmoset), 9232 nucleotides. RefSeq lists it as uncharacterized. The record is from RefSeq and is a predicted model, not a curated record. Lineage: Eukaryota; Metazoa; Chordata; Mammalia; Primates; Cebidae.
CCCAUGGGGCUCCUACACCUCGGAAUUUCCUGGUCUGUGGGCAGUAAAGAUCCAUCUGGAAAUGCAGCAUCCACUCACCCUCUGUGCUUUCACUGGGAGCUGCAAUCCUGAGUUGCUCCUAUAGCACCAUCUUCCCCCUUCUCUGUUGUUAAUAUUCUUAACUAUUUUUAGCAGAAAUAGUUAAGAAUAGUUCAAAACUGUAUCUUUGCUGUUACCAUUUACAAUUUGUUGAAUUUACUUCACAGAUGAAUAAAUGAAUGAAAUUUUAGGGAUGAGUACUUUUCAACAAAGUAACUAAAAUGUUAUUAAGUCCUCUCUAAUUAUAUUUGUGACUUCAAACAACAUUUCAAUAAUUUAUUUAAAUAAAUUUUUAACCAAGAUAAAAUUUUGGCAUUUAGAUUCCCCUUUUCUUCCUUCCUUCCAGUAACAAUGAAAUACAGGCUCACUAAAUCUACUAAGCUACAUUACCUGCUAAAUACAUGAAUCAGGUUACCUAAAAAUGUCAACUAGUUGGCCAGGCUUUAUAGGGAUUGUGAACAGAACUAUUAAAAGAUAUGAUGAGUAGUAAAGAGAGAAAACAGCAAAAAAGGUAUGAAGAGCUGAGAAACAGAGAGUGACAAACCACAGAAUGGGAGGUUUUCUGUUAAUUUAUUUUAUUUUUUGACAUGGAGUCUCACUCUGCCACCUAGGAUGGAGUGCAGUGGUGCAAUCUCCACUUGCUGCAACUCUGCCUCCUGGAUUCAAGUGAUUCUCCUGCUUCAGCCUCCCAAAUAGCUGGGACUACAGGAGUAAGCCACUAUGCCUAGCUAAUUUUUGUGUUUUUAGUAGAGAUGAGGUUUCACCAUUUUGGCCAGGCUGGUCUCAAACUCUUGACCUCAAGUGACCCACCCAAUUUGGCCUCCCAAAGUGCUGGGAUUACAGGUGGGAGCCACUGCUCCUGGCUAGCAUGUGAGCUAAGUGAUUGAUAAUGUGCUCAUUAAUAAUAAUGUCUGUAAGGGGCUGUGCCUAUUUCAACCUCAGCUGAGCUUUCCUUGUGAAUCACCACCCCAGGCACAAGCAAAUGGGUCCCCUAGAAAUUGAUGUGCACAUCAAAGACAUCAAAUAACAAUAAGUUGGGAAACCUUUGGUACUUACAUAUCUUGGUAGGGGCAGCUUAGAUAGGAUGGAAAGAGUAUACCAAAUUGAAGAAUUCCUAAACAGAGAAUUAAUUGGGAAGAAGAUUUCUUAUAUGAUGUUUUAGUUUACCAUUUAUAAGAAGCUAUAAACCACCUUCCUUACAGCAGUGAGUUUCCAUAUGCAAAAUUACACUGUGCAGCUUUAAUAAAUCAUGCCCUUUAAUAGCACUGGCUACAGUUCAUCACUCUUUGGUGAUAAUAAAAAAAGAAGAAUGGAAAUUUGUAAAUAGGAAAUGGAUUAGAAAUAAAGCAAAUGGCAAAAAGAAAAAAUAUUCCUGUAACAAAAUAUUGGUAAGAUGAAGAAAAUUGAAGGUCCUAGAACUAAGAUUUAACAGUACUGCUAGGAUACUUCCAUGGAGACAGCUAAGCUACAUAUCUAUGGUAUUUAUAGAAGACCCUUAAGAAAUAACUCUUAAAAUAUCCUGAAUAUCUAAAAUGUCAACCCAAUAAUCUCACUAUUUGUUCAUUUUUCCUAGUAGUACCUAUAUUUGACCAUUGGGACAGGCAUUCCUCAACCCUAAAGAUAUCAGUAAGUGAAUAAAAAUUCAUGCAGGUAGCGAAAUCCCCAUAGGCCCUUUUCAAUGCAUGACCACUUUUGCUUUUAAAUUUUCCAUCCUAGUUUCUGUACACAUUAGGUUUUGGUCAACUACUUUCAGUUUGGCAACAUCCUUAUUCCUUUACACCAGAACGUCAGCCAGAAAUUCUUCCUCUUUCUGGUCUUUAUCUUGGAUGCUAAAUUUGUGCAGAGGAAAAGUGAGUUCACAACUGAGACAUCAAAUCAGAAAGAAAUUGCAAGUUUGUAUGUAGAACCAGACACAGAAAAAAUAUCUCUUAGUACACAUUUUAUUUGAAAUUAAAAGUCCCACCUUCUUAGAUCAAAAAUGUAAAAAGAAAAAAAAAGUUUGGGAGACAUGAGUUGUAUAGUUCUCUGUAUCCCAGAUGGCCAGAGCCACAUAUAGAAUUCUGGGGACUAUGAGAUGAUACUCUUGGAGGAAACCAUUGCUCUCAUUCUUUCAAAUCUCUAUUGUCAGUUUUGGUUUAUAACAUAACAAAAAACAAAUCUUUGCUGCCUUUGGGGAUUAAAAAAAAACCCUAAUUUUUUCUGCUUAGAGUCAUCUGGCUUUCUCUUGGAUCAUUCCCCUUAGUUGGGUUCUUUCAGGGGGCAUUUCUUCACACCUCUUAUGUAAAAUUGAUGGUAGAGGAUCUCAGAUUUUCCUAGAGUGAAAGACUUGAUAUCAUUAUGGAAUUAAGAGCCCUACAUGAUCUUGCUCCUGCCCGCAUCUCCCGCCUCAUCACUUAUCUUGCUUGGGCCACAUUAGCCAUCUUUCUUUUCCUCAAAAACGUCACUUUUCCUUGUGGAUCUUGUACUUGCUGUCCCUUUGCUUGGGAUGGUUUCUGUCUCCAGCUCUUCACAUGACUACAUCCUUUUGAUCAUGUUGUUGCCUCUUCAAAGAAGCCUUUCCUUACCACCCUAUUGAAAGCAGCAUUGCCUCACCCAGCAGCGGAUUGUUUUCUGUAAGCACUAUCCUGACAUAUUCUUCAUUGCAGUUAUCAAAAUUAUUAGGCUUAUUAUUUUCUGUCUCUGCCCACUAAAUUGUAGGCUUCAUGAGAGCAGGGCUCUAAUCUAUCCUGUUCAUGGCUGUAUCCCCAGCACACAGCACAAUGCCCAACACAUAGUAAGUUCUCAGAAAAUAUUUUUGCAUUAAUUAAUAAAUAAGUGAACAAAUGAGGAUAGUUGUCACCUUGCUGUGCCACCUUAUACAAGGCAAGGUCUUAUGUGUUGGAGAACUCAGAUGGUCCUGAGAGCCAGGAGAUCCAGUCAAGAAAGAGCAUCAACACAACCCUCUAGUAAAGAUAAGCACUUAGAUGCUGUGUCUCUGCACUGCUGCCUCACAAAUGGUGAAUAGAAAGAGCAAUGGGCUGCUGGCACUCCAUUCAUCAAGAGGCACCUGCAUCUGGCUGGGUUCUUGCAGGGACCUGAUGAAAAUGGCUAAACAGAGGAAACUCUUUACCAAGGAGGGGGCCAUAUAUAAGAGAAACAGCAGGAGUGGUAGAAUCUCAGAGAUUGAGGACCACACCAGUCAUUACCACCCCAGGCAUGAAGGUACAAAGAAGUGGUCAUUAAAACUUACAACACCUGAGGCCUUCAGUAGAGAGAAGUAGGUGACCUUCAAGGUCAUGGUGAGUGGGGUGUGGAGAUGGUGGAAAAGAAUAACUUACCCUUCUUUUCUUGCCUCCUGAUCUCAGGACAGCAGGGGAGCCUGCUGAGGCAUCCAACAGGAUAAAAUGGAUCUGGAGAAGCCAAUAAAAGAUCCAGCACAGCAUCCCUCACUCAAAGUGUCAGUAAAAGCCAGGAACUCUAAUGUGCUCACAGGGUAUCUGGCUUCCUAAUUAGAUACAUUUUUUCCUGGCAAAAGCUAGAAAAACACAAUAUACUGACCAAAAGCCUGGGCACUGGAGCUGGGCAACUAACUGGUGAAGGUUGGUUCCUUUACAAAAUAGUUGUGUAACUGAAUGUAUCAAUUCCCUCACAGGUAAAAUGGGAUCAGGAGAUCUGCUAUGAGGAUUAAACACCUUGAGUAACUUAAUAUGUAUAAAUGCUUAGAAGAGUGCCUGACAAACAGUUCAUAAAAAGGAGGUGAGCCAGGUGGUUCCUGGAAAGAAAAGAACAAGGAAAUUGCAGCAAUCACAAGCCUUGGGCAGAGAUAACUACGAAACCUCACCUUGAGAAGCAGAUCUGAGCCACAGGAGUGAGAUUUUUCCUUUCGCAAAUGAUUUGUCAAGCCUCUCCCUGCAGAGCUUGUACUGUAGCCACAAAUGUCUACAGAUCAGCCUCCAGCCCUCAGUGAGCAAAUGAGAACCUGGGUCAUCACCAUUCCCAUUUCUGCUCCACUUUCUCCUUCCCAGGAGUUUAGGCUGGGCUUACAUUCUCCCUCAGCAAGGACUCAAUCAAUCCUCUUCCUUCUUCUUUUUUUUUUUGCCAAUCAGUUUGAGCUUAUGAGGUUGCUCAGGUUAGCCUUGAACCUCGCCUUCGCAAGAGCCACUACCUCCGGCGGGAGCCACUUUGGACCCCCGAUCCUCUUCCUUCUAAGUGGUGCUUUGUGUGCAAAGCUGAAAAAGGAUAGUUCUCUGUAGGGACUGAUGGGGCAUUGCCAUCAAGCCUGCCCUAGGCCCAGGAUCUAGAGACAAUAUGGUGAAAUGUGUGUGUGAAUAAAGGAAGAAGGAAGUCACUGAAGACAGGAAAUAAAGUGGAGGUGGGUAGGGAGUGGGGCUUUGGGAGGCAGGUGUGGAUGACAAAACCUACUGCAUUAAUUAGCAUACUACUUAUUGCUACAACAGAUAAAUCCACACAUUUCAGUUGCUUAAUCCUAAGAAAACCUAUUUCUUGCUCAUAUGAAGUCCAAAACAAGUAUUCCUAAUUGGCAAGCAACUGUCUUCCUAAGCUAUAAUUCAGGAACCUAGACUCCUUGAAUUGUAUGCUCUACACCACCUUUAAUGUGUGGCCUCUAAGUACCUCUCCAUGAAUCUAGAGGAGGGGCAAGAACCUGGAGGGUUAAGUGUGAGGAUUUUCAUGGUUCAAGACUAGAAGGGUCACACAUCACAUUUUCUCACAUUCUUUUGGCUAGAACCCAGUCACACAGAAUGCCUAAUGGAUAGAGAGGCUGGGAAAUGUAGUCUAGUUGAGUGCCCAAGAAAAAAAAAUGGGUUGGUGAGCAACAAGCUAGUUUAACAUUGCCUAUUUAAUUUUGCACAAGGGAAGCCCUGAAGAUAGUCCCAAAGUACAGAUCUAUAGGUUGGAGUUGUCAUAUUCCUGGAAUUAAAGGAAUUCUCAAAACUUGAAUACAAUAUAAAGAAUCCUUGGAUUGUAUAGUUGACAUUGAUGUCUUUUGAUUAUCUUAGUGGUUUAUGGCAAGAUAUUUUGGCUUUAACUAUUGGUCAUCAAAAUUUUGCUGAAUCAAGAACCCGAACCUAUUAUAUUGCUUGUGUUCUUUACUAAGAGGACCAAACACCCUGUUUAAUUAUGAGCAACAAUGGACUUUUAAAUAUUUUCCCUUCAAGACAAAUUACCACCAAAUAUCUUCGCAAAUUUUGAUUUGUAUUAUGCCACCCGCUUCCAGCAAGAUACACGUUACCAAUGUACAAAUGAACGUAUGUCUUCUUAAAGCUAUUUUAAAGAUAAAAUGGUAAAAAGUUCUGAUGCCCUAGAAAAAUUGAUUCAUCAUCAUAUUUAAAGAUGUGCCUCAUUAUGUGCCAAGAACUAUGUUAACAGAGAUAUGUUCCUCUGUCGGUCAGUAAGUUUGCUUAGUCCAGGGAAGAACUCAAGAGUCUAUUUCUAACUAGACAUUUUUACUGAGUGUAGAAUUUUGGGUUGAAAUGUCUUUUCUUUCAGCACUUGAAAAAUGUGUCACUUCCAAGUGGUCUUCAUGGUUACUGAUGAGAAAUCUGUCAUUUAUUCAAAUUUUUUUUCUCCUCUAAGUAAGGUGUUAUUAUUCGCUGGCUUCUUUCAGGAUGUUUUUCUUCAUCUUUAGUUUUCAGAUAUUUAAUUUUGAUGUGUCUUGGUAUGGAUUUCUUUGGACUUAUUCUUUGAGAGUUUUCUCAGCUUUAAUCUGUAGGUUAACGUCCCUUGCCAACUUUAAGAGGGUUUCAGCCAUUAUUUAUUUGAGUAGUUUUUUUUAGCCCCCUCUUUCUUUACUUUUUCUAGGACUCUGAUGACACAGAUGUUAGAGCUCUUAUCUUUAAAUCUUUUAUUUGUGCAAUAGUCACACAGCUCUCUGAGGAUCAGUUUACUUAAUUUUUUGUCUUCCCUUUGUUGUUCUGAUUGAGUGAUUUUUAUUGUUCUAUCCUCUAGCUCAUUGAUUCUUUCCUCUCUCUCCCCAAUCCUGCUGUUGAACUCACUCUCUGAAGUUUUAUCUUGGUUACUAUAUUUUCCAUUUCUAGAAUUUCUAUUUGGUUAUUCUUUAUGUAUUCUAGAGAUCUUUCUCUUUGUUGUUACAAGUGAGUUUUCGUUGAAACUGGGACAUUUUCAUGGUAAGUUAUGAGACUUUCAAUCUCAUUUGAGCUGGCUUUGAUACUGCUUUGGCAGAGGAAGUGGAUGGUGGGGAACUGGGGGAGAAAGGUGUCACCAUAUGUGAUCACAAGACCAGGUAUCCCAUUCAGUCUCCAUUGACACCUGAAGCGGGACCUCCUCAUUACUGUUGGACAAGGGUAAGAGUUCCAGCCUCCCACAUAGUUCCCACUGAUGCCGUGUUGGCAUUGGCUGGACUAUCAGUGAGCAGUGUGGAAGUUCCUGACUCUUCAGUGGGCCUCCUCUGAGACGCCCCAGCAAGGAUACCUCCCAGAAGGGAGGGAUGAACCCUCAUUACUAUUGGGUGGUAGUGGAAUCUAAGCUGCUAAGUGUUCUCCAUGGAUACCAUGGAAUGGGAAUUGUUACCAGAUGAUGAGGAUAAAAAUUCUAGCUCCCUACUAGGCCUUCUCUGCAAAACCUUAGUGGGGUAUUGAGAGAACUUGUUAAUAGCCUUUUGAGGGUAAAGUCCAGGCUUCCAUUUUGUUCUUGGUGCAUGAAUAGAGGUAGGGAGAUACAAAUAUAUACAUAUUUUUAACCUGUGGUGCUUGUCUGAAGUAGAACAAUUAUUGUCUGAAAGUUUUCUGUCUUCCUAGACUGCCUCUUUGAAGUAGGCUUUUUUUUUUUCUGGUUUGCAACUUUUGGCAUUUCUGAGUUACCAGCUUUGGCAUCAAGUCUAGGAUAUAUGAAGCAAAAGGAAAAUCCAGGAAACUUACCAGUAUGUCAUUUUUCAAAUCAAGAUUUUUCAAAUCAAGGUCCCUAACCUGUCUACUUUCUUCUCUCCAUCUUUCAGUCUUAAGUUUUGAUAUAUAUAACAUACAGGGAUUUUAAUUGUACUUAGUUGCGGAAUAGGUAAAUAAUUUGUUUACUGCAUCUUCCCAGAAGUGCAAGUACAAUUUUUAUGUACCUUUUAAAUGUGAUCAGAUUUAUGUUAAAAGGACUAGUCUGGUUUCUCUUAUGGAGAGGUGACCAUGAAGUGGAUGGGGGGCUGGGGUGAGGGGUAGGGAGCAGUGGAAGAAGGCUAUCAUGGGCUUUUGGUCUACGGAUGAAGGUGUCUCCUGUUAGGAUGCUUAUGAAGAAGGUGGUGAGAAGUAGUCAGAUUAAACAUAUGCUAUAUUUCAAAUGUAGAGCCAGUAUGGAAAAGCUGGUACAAACACAGUGAGGGACUGUAUGUCCAAGUUCCUGCAAUUCCUGGGUUUAUGUGGAAUACUUUGGAAUAUGUCUAAUAAAUUACAUUUUUGACAUGUGGCAGGAUGGGGUUUUCUUUUCUCUCCCUUCUUCAUCCAAUCUCUCUCUAGAAGAGUUUUAGUAUGAUAGAAAAUAGAGAUGAAAACCUUGUUUACAAAACGAUGCAAUAGCUAUGCAUUGAAAGAAAGUCAAUAUUAGCAAGAUAAAUUUGACUUGUCUUGUAGAUGCUUCUUUUCAAAACCUAGAGAGAUUCAAGGUUCCCCUUUGAUUGACAGGAGAGACAAAAUCAAGGUUCCAUCAGCUGCAUUUCCAGUCUGGGUCUGGAGCAUGAUGAAGACUUGGUGGAUCUCUUUCAGAAUGUAGAGCCAGAUUGUGGAGAUGGGGAAGAGGACAGAGAGACAGAAAAGAAGGGAGUAGGAGAAAAAUCAAAAGUGAAAAUUUGUUCUUGAGCUUGAUUUUGGAGAAUGUAUGUAGCUGAGUAUCUCUAAACAACAAUACCCUUGAGACACUGCAUGAAAAUACUGCAAUUUUCCAUCUGGUAAAAAUAGAAAUAACUGAAAUGAUGUAAAAAGGCUUAGCUCCUUUGUAAGUUUCAGAAGUAGUGUGGCUAAUGGUGAUGUUGGGGAGGGCUAGGGUGUCCAGAUAAAAUACAGGACAUCCAAUUAAAAUCGAAUGUCAGAUAAUUAACAAAAUGUUUAAAAUAUAAGUGGGUCAGGAGUUUCUUGAACACUCCAAAUUAUUGCAUGAAACCGACUUAAACUAAAUAGCCAAAGACACACCCAUAUCCAAAAUAAAAAAAAAAAGGUAAACCAUUCAUUUUUUAUCUAAAGUUCAAGUUUACUGGGUGUCCUAUAUUUUUAUUUACUGAGCCUGGCAGCCAUAGGGAGGGCAAAACUUGGUUGAGGCAUUAUUAAUGGAAAAUCAGAAGAUAGUGCAGGGCGGGGAGCGGGGCCCCCGAAGAUCCUCCCAGUUCUCUGCUCCAAUGUGCCCAGGUCCUUGGCCUCUCUUAUCCCAGGAAUGGGGAAAAGGGCCCGGGACGUGCAGUGAGCUUACCUUUCAAAUAAAUAUUGUAGACCCAAAGAGUUUAGAAGAGAGCCAUUUAUUAGGCAGAAAGAGAGAGAGAGAGAGAGAGAGAGAGAGAGAGAGAGAGAGAGCGAGCGCGAGCGAGAGCGCACAAGCGCACUCCCACACUUCUAUGGGAGGGGAUCCAGGGGAGGAAUCCGUAUAGGUAAGGAGCAGUGGGGUUUUAACCCUAAAGUUAUUCUUGCCCCAUUUAUGUUCUCGCCCAAUGAGAGGAGUUCUUUCAAAUUUCCUCUGGAGUGAUUGAUCUUUGGCUUUGAUACGGGAUUGGCUACAGAGCCUCCUCCUCCCAGAGCUUUUGUCAGGCUUUUUAAACAAAGGAGCACACCUGGAUUUUCCACCUAGCCUGCCCAGGGGAAAGUCAGACAAAGAACUCUAGGUUCCUGGAUGGGGGUGUAGACAGAAGCACGGUGCCGGGAAAUUCCUGCCUUUGAAACCACGCCCCUUGUGGACUCGGGAAGAGAAGUUUUUUGUUCCUUAACACAGUCUCUCAAUAGUAUGCAAAUAUCACCUUUGAAAUAAAACAUAAAGGUAACUUUUGAGACUUCUGAAAUCACUUUCUGUGUGUUGGGACAGCCAAAUUUAUUCCUAUUUUGUAUUAAUAAAGGUUUUACCUUUAAGAAUGCAUGUACCCUUGAUGCAAUAAGUAAAACACCAGCCCAAAUCUCAAAUCAAUUGCUAUGAUGUUAGAAAACCAGGUAUGCCGCCAGGCAAUUAACUGUUGACA